CUGGUUGAUCCUGCCAGUAGUGAUAUGCUUGUUUCAAAGAUUAAGCCAUGCAUGUCUAAGUAUAAGCGAACUUAUACAGUGAAACUGCGGAUGGCUCAUUAAAACAGUUUGAAUUUAUUUGAUGAAUGUAUGAGAAUACUACUUGGAUAACCGUAGUAAUUCUAGAGCUAAUACAUGCAACGACGCCCGACCGUUUCACUACGGAAGGGCUGUAUUUAUUGGAUACCAAAACCAUCCUUCCCUCGGGAAGUUUUGUUUGAUGAUUCACAAUAACUGAUCGGAUCGCCACUGUGGUGGUGACAGGUCAUUCAACAUUCUGCCCUAUCAGCUUUCGAUGGUUGUGUAGUGGACAACCAUGGCCAUAACGGGUAACGGAGAAUCAGGGUUCGAUUCCGGAGAAGGAGCUUGAGAAUUGGCUACUACAUCUAAGGAAGGCAGCAGGCGCGCAAAUUACCCAAUCCCGAUUCGGGGAGGUAGUGACAAAAAAUAACAAUACCGGGCCUUUUUGGGCUUGGUAAUUGGAAUGAGGGAGAGUUAAACGGACCAUCGAGUAUCCAUUGGAGGGCAAGUCUGGUGCCAGCAGCUGCGGUAAUACCAGCUCCAAUAGCGUAUAUUAAAGUUGUUGCAGUUAAAAAGCUCGUAGUUGGACUUGUGUGCGCUGUCCGCGGGUGGCCUGCGCCCAAAAGGGCGUUUCGGUUCGGCCCCGGUGGCGCCUUGAAAUCUGCAGCUGGGGGGACGUUGGCCUUAACUGGUCGGCGACCGCACGCCGGCUGCUCGGUUACUGUGAGAAAAUUAGAGUGUUCAAGGCAGGCAUUGGGUGCAAUUGAAUACAUUAGCAUGGAAUAAUAAAAUAUGGCUCCUGCCGUAUUUUGUUGGUUUUGACUGGUGGGAGUAAUGAUUGAUAGGGACGGUUGGGGGUGCUAGUAUUGAGCGGCCAGAGGUGAAAUUCAUGGAUUCGCUCAAGACUAACUUAUGCGAAAGCAUUCACAAGGACGUCCUCUUUAAUCAAGAACGAAAGUUGGGGGAUCGAAGACGAUCAGAUACCGUCGUAGUCUCAACCAUAAACUAUGUCGACUUGGGAUCGGCGGUAGUUUUUUCAUUAAGACACUGUCGGGACCACGGGAGAAAUCAAAGUGUCUGGACUCUGGGGGAAGUAUGGUCGCAAGGCUGAAACUUGAAGGAAUUGACGGAAGGGCACCACCAGGAGUGGAGCCUGCGGCUUAAUUUGACCCAACACGGGGAAACUUACCAGGUCCAGAGAUGUAGAGGAUUGACAGAUUGAAGCUCUUUCUUGAUCACUUCGGUGGUGGCGCAUGGCCGUUCUUAGUUGGUGGAGUGAUUUGUCU
RNAcentral lists this ribosomal RNA (1346 nucleotides) under metagenome. Its description in RNAcentral is "SSU rRNA". It matches the Rfam family "Eukaryotic small subunit ribosomal RNA", at positions 4 to 1316 of the family's 1831-position model. The record is from RNAcentral.